CACAGGAUGCUAAUCUCAUUACUUCUCUCUUUAGUGACACAGGCCUGAAUGCACAAAAGGAGGAAAGGUCCAUCCAUACCAGAUGGUCUAUUGUGGGACAAGAUGACAAAGGACUCUGUUGUUCUUUUCUCCCCAUCACUUUAAGACAUUGUUAAAGUUCUGUGAAAAGUGAUCACCAGAAUAGGAUUUGGCUUAAGGAGAGGACAAGAAACAGCAAAGGCAAGUUUGGAUGGUCUAACAGUCUUCAGAGAUACUCAAAAGAACAUGACCACGUACUGGCUCCUUGAUGAAGUUUGGCUGACCAUG
This is a long non-coding RNA of Chelonia mydas (Green sea turtle), 306 nucleotides long. RefSeq lists it as uncharacterized. NCBI's taxonomy places the organism in Eukaryota, Metazoa, Chordata, Testudines, Cheloniidae. The record is from RefSeq and is a predicted model, not a curated record. The transcript has 4 exons.